Molecule: ribosomal RNA, 253 nt
Filed under: uncultured bacterium
Lineage: Bacteria
Description: partial 16S ribosomal RNA
Rfam family: Bacterial small subunit ribosomal RNA
Source: RNAcentral
CACGUAGGGUGCGAGCGUUAAUCGGAAUUACUGGGCGUAAAGCGUGCGCAGGCGGUUUUGUAAGCCAGAUGUGAAAUCCCCGGGCUUAACCUGGGAAUGGCAUUUGGGACUGCAAAGCUUGAGUGUGGCAGAGGGGACUGGAAUUCCUGGUGUAGCAGUGAAAUGCGUAGAGAUCAGGAGGAAUACCGAUGGCGAAGGCAGGUCCCUGGGCUGACACUGACGCUCAUGCACGAAAGCGUGGGGAGCAAACAGG